UACGAAGGGGGCUAGCGUUGCUCGGAAUCACUGGGCGUAAAGCGCGCGUAGGCGGAUCGUUAAGUCGGAUGUGAAAUCCCUCGGCUCAACUGAGGAAGUGCAUCCGAAACUGGCAGGCUUGAGUACUAAAGAGGGUCGCGGAAUUCCCGGUGUAGAGGUGAAAUUCGUAGAUAUCGGGAGGAACACCGGUGGCGAAGGCGGCGACCUGGGUCGAUACUGACGCUGAGGUGCGAAAGCGUGGGGAGCAAACAGG
Molecule: ribosomal RNA, 253 nt
Filed under: uncultured bacterium
Lineage: Bacteria
Description: partial 16S ribosomal RNA
Rfam family: Bacterial small subunit ribosomal RNA
Source: RNAcentral